Molecule: long non-coding RNA, 23347 nt
Organism: Symphalangus syndactylus (siamang)
Lineage: Eukaryota; Metazoa; Chordata; Mammalia; Primates; Hylobatidae
Source: RefSeq, a predicted model, not a curated record
UCCUAUUUGUAUUUCAAGCUCAUAAAUUAUCUCAGGAGUUCUGAUGUGUAAGAAAACUUUUUGUUUUAUUAUUAUACUUUAAGUUCUAGGUUACAUGUGCAGAAAGUGCAGUUUUGUUACAUAGGUAUACAUGUGCCCUGGUGGUUUGCUGCACCCAUCAACCCAUCCACCUACAUUAGGUAUUUCUCCUAAUGUUAUCCCUCCCCUAUCCCCCCCACCCCCUGACAAGUCCUGGUGUGUGAUGUUCCCCUUGGAUGACUCUCUUACUUGGCCAUUUGAUGAUUUUGGACUGCAGCUUUGAAAGACCAAAUUGUAGCAUGCUGCAUAGCUUUCAAAGAAUUUAGAUAUUUUUUUCUGGUUGGCAUACGUUAUGAUUUUAAAAUAAUUAAAUUGUGUGAAAUUUGUUCUUAUAUCAGGUGACUAUACCAUCACCAUAAAUUGCUAGUCAUGAAAAUACAUACAGUUGACCCUUGAACAAUGUUUGAACUGUGCUGGUCCACUUAUAUAUUCAUUUGUUCAAUAAAUAUAUUAGAAAGUUUUUUGGAGAUUUGUGACAAUUUGAAAAAACUCUUGGGUGAACUUUGUAGACUAGAAAUAUCAAAAAAAAAAGAAAAAAAAUGUAUAUUAUGAAUGCAUAACAUAUAUAUAGAUACUAGUCUAUUUACGUGUUAAUCGACUUUUUGUUAUUGAUGAAGCUCCCGGUCAACAGCAUUAUUAGUUAAGCUUUUGGGGAAUCAAAAGUUAUAUGUAGAUUUUUCCACUGUGCAGGGGAUAGGUACCCCAUACCUCCACACUGUUUAAGGGUCAACUGUUUUCCAAUGAAAUUAAGAAGUCCAGCCAGGCUCAGUGGCAUGCACCUGGAGUCCCAGCUAUUUGGGAGGCUUAAGUGGGAGGAUUGCUUGAGGCCAGGAGUUCAAGGCCACAGUGUGCUAUGACUGCAUUUGUGAAUAGCCCCUGCACUCCACCCUGGACAUCAUAGCAAGACUUUGCCUCUAAAAAGGCGGAGAAGGAGUCUAAUAUUCAGUGUGAUAGUGUUACUCAUGGCAAAUUCAUAUAGGUCUGCAGCAACCUCAGUACCUGCCUCUUCAGAAGAAAGAAUUCAACUGAGGAAGCAUAAGGCAGAAGGAGAGACUGAGGCAAGUUUUAGAGCAGGAGUGAAAGUUUACUUAAAAGCUUUACAGCAGGAGCAAAAGAAAGGAAAGUACACUUGGAAGAGGGCCAAGCAGGUGACUUGAAAGACAAGUGUAUGGCUUGACCUUUUGACUUGGGGUUUUUAUAUGAUGGCAUACCUCCAGGGUCUUGCAUUACUUCUGACCACCUGCCCAACUCCUGAGAUCUUAUUGAGAAGCCACUCGUCACCAGUUUUAGGUGUUUUCUAUCUACUAGGAGCCCGCCUUUCCCUGGCGCCAGCUGUGACCAAUUAUUAUUUCAGAGAAACAGUUAACAACUAUCUAACCAUCGCUGAUGGUUUCCCGACACUCCUGGUGUGAGGUAUGGGAGCCCUUUCCUGCCCUGCUCAUACCCAACUAGCUACCAACUAUAACAGUAGCACUCAAAGUGAUAGCUAACAUUUUGGUCACCUUUAUUAACCAGAUUCUACCAUGACAUAUGCGUUGUAUAAAUGAUUUUUUUUCAUUGCCAUAGCAACUCCAUAGGCUAGUAUUCAUUAUAUCUGUUUUUUUAGGAAACUGAAAUCGAGACUCAGAGAGGUUAAGUAACAUCCCCAAACCAGACAGCUAAUAUGAAACAGAGCCAUAUUUGAUCUCUCAUCUUUUAAAUUAACAUAAAAUAUGAAACAAAGAAUUCCGAGAAAAUAUAAGUGAAACUGGGUCUGGUUUAGGGUUAAGAAAGUCAUUUCUAGGCCAAAAUCCAAGAAGGAAACUGUAAAUAAAAAUUUUGUUUUUUUAUCUUCUUAUAAAUUUUAAAAUUUUUGUGUCAAAAUAAGCUAAAUGAAAUUUAAGAUAAUAAAUUUAAGUGAUUAUACUAUAAAUGACAGAAAAAUGGUUUUAUUUUAAUGAGUAUUAUGUUUUAUGUGAUCAAAUCUAUUAGUCUUUUUAAAAAAAAUUAUGUCCUGGGAGUUGUACAUAGAAAAGCCUUCCCCAAAUAUUUUGUUUUCAUUUUCAUACAUUGAAAUGUUCAAUCCAUCUGGAAUUUAUUAGACAUAUAGUGUGAGGUAUGGAUUUAGCCAGCUAUCACAAUAUCGUUUAUUAAUAAUAAACAAUUUAUUUUAUUUAAAUGGCUAAAUCCUUCCAUCCUUUCAUUGUUCUUUCUCAUUUAUUGAACUUAUAUACAUCCUUGCCUGUUUCUGAACUUCCUGUUUUAUUCCAUUGAUCUGUACCAGCAAAAUACUGUUUUUAUUAUUGUAGCUUAUUUAUACUUUACAAAAGUGUUCUUGGUUAGUCCCUAAAAUGUAUUCCUCCAAAUGAACUUUUUAUUUAUUUAUUUAUUUAUUUAUUUAUUUAUUUAUUUAUUUAUUGAGAGGGAGUCUCACUCUGACGCCCAGGCUGUAGUGCAGUGGCACGAUCUCGGCUCACUGCAACCUCCGCCUCCUGAGUUCAAGCAUUUCUCCAGCCUCAGCCUCCUGCAUAGCUGGGAUUACAGGUGCAUGCCACCAUGCCCAGCUAAUUUUUUGUAUUUCUAGUGGAGAUAAAGUUUUACCAUGUUAGCCAGGCUGGUCUCCUGACCUCAGGUGAUCCACCCACCUCAGCCUCGCAAAGUUCUGGGAUUACAGGCAUGAGCCACCACACCUGGCCAACCUCUGAAUGAACUUUAAAUGACUUUUUACCGAGGUCUUUACUCCACCCCUACAAAAUGCAAAUGGGACCUUGAGUGAUGUUACAAUAUGUUUAUAAAUUAUAUGAAAAUGUCGUAUCUGUAAUAGUGAGUUUCUCCAACUUCGUAUGUGGUAUGCCUCUCCUUUUAUGCAAGCAGUAGAGUCACUUUUUUUCAUAUAGUUCUUAGUAGUAGUCUAUUAAAUUUAUCACCAUAAGUUUCUUUGUUGUUGUUACAGAAAGUGACUUUGUUAGCUCCAUUAAGAUUUUCUGGUAUAAUCCCAAGAUAUUUGUAAAACCUUUUCUAUUAUGCAUCUUUGUAUGAAAUUUAGACAUACUUGUGAAAUGUAAAAAUGUACUAAGCUUUAUUUUUUAAUAACCAAAAAGAUUAAAUGUUUAUUUUAAAUUUUAACUUAUUUUAUAAAUAAAUAUUUCCUCACCUUCUGGUAGCUUAGACCUAUCAACUAGGUUUGAACAGAGACUUUUACUUAAUGAGACUGAAAUGUUAUUAACCAUGAAAUUUAUACCUAUUAAAAAUAUUAUCCAAGAGGGCCUGAGGGAAAAAAAGAAAAAGGAAAAAGUAUUAUCUAAGGUAUGCCUAUGAUUUUGCUCAUAUCGUUUGAAGUAGAUUAUUACUGCCUGUAGUUUGCAAAGCCAUUUACUAAAUGAUUGAAAUUUUUCUGAUCUAACUUCACUGGAGAUUUCAUUGUACAUUAAUGACUGUAUGGUUUAGAGAAUUAAUCAAAAAUCAGAAGUUAGAGCAUCAGUAGCUUCCUCUUAUAUGGCUGAUUAUUUUACUUGAUAUGACCUUGAAUAAGUCACAUUUUCUUUCCAUGCUUCACUUCUUUUAUCAAUAAAAUGAAAUAAAGAGUGCUGAUAUAGUCAAGGAUGCCUUUAUCAAUUAACUACUUUCAGAUUAUUAUUUGGCUUCAGAUGAUAAAAUAUUAUGAAAAUACAUAAAGGCCAAAUGAGGCAUCUGGCUAUAGGUCUUCAAAGUGAAAAUCCAAGUGACACAAGACAAGUUGUCUGAUCAGUGAGCACUUUGUUCCUAAGAUCAGCUCUUCAUUAGGGGGACAUCCUUUAGAUGCAGAGUGACCAUAAAACUUAUUGCCCAAUUAAACACCCUUUGAAAGGCAGCUCUAAUCAGAAAAGAUGUUCGGACAAGUGGCGCAAACCAGAACUGUCACACGCAAACUGGAAUAUAUUGUUAUCCUAUUUAUAUGGCAAGAAGAGAAAGAGGGGAACAUGCUACUUCUCUUUAAUCUUUCCCUAAUGUGAUGUUUACUGAGCUAUGUGUCAUGGGUGUAGAGCUCAGAAAGUAUGGCUUCAGUUUAUAUUUUGUCAUUAUCCAUUAUUUUAUUUAUUUAUUUAUUUUUAUAGCAAACAAUUGUAGAACAUGUUUUACUUGCUGGAUUGUGAUAGGAUCAAACAAUUCAUUUCUACUGUUCUCCUAGAACUCAUAGUGAGUUUGAGAGGUCAAAGAUCUUAGCAUGAAUACAGAAAUUUGUUUUCUUUGAAUAUUGCUAAUUGUGACCCAGUCAAUUUUGUGAUUAUAGGAAUAAAUUAUGGUAUUUAUAAUAUGAGACAUUCUAGAAUGUUCUUUCACUGUUAAUGUUCUCUUAUGCUUUGCUGGUUGUAACUACAAAGAUCUUAAAUUUGUGUGUUAAAGAUAGCGUUGAUGGUAAAAUGUUCAGCUGAGUAAUCAAAUACUAGUUUUCUAUUAAUGGCAAAAGAAUUUUUGAAGUAAUAAUGCCCACUGCUGGCAAUGCUACAGUAAAGUAGAUACCCUCAUAUAGCUGGUGACAACUAUGGGAAAAACAUAUUGAAAGCCUUGGAGUAUUUCUAUAACUUUUGUCCCAGAAUUCUACUUCUUAGAAUCUAAGCAAAGGAAGAGAGUGGCAGCAGGACUACAAAAUGGAAAGCUAUCUGCACAGAUGUUCAUGGAAGGAGUAUUUGUGAUCAUUAACAAUGGAAAUAAUAUGCAUGUUUACAGAUACAUCCCACCUUCCCUCCUCUAAGAAACCUCCCAUGGCACCCAUAGUCUGCAUCAGUCCGUAUGUGUGUUUUCAUAGCACUUUGCCUUCCUAUACUAUAGUGGUGUAGCCAAGAGUCAAAAUAGCUCUGUACUCCUGGGCAAGUUACUCAUCUCACUGUGCGUAGGUUUCCUCACUCUGUAAAACGAAGAUAACAGUACCUGCCCUAUCAAAUAUCAUUGUGCCUAGCAAAUAGUAAUUGCUCAACAAAUGAUAGUAGUUAUUAUUAUUAUUACUAUUACAGCACAGUGUCUGUUUGCUCAUGUGAGACUGUGAGUACACAUAGUAGAGAAGAGAUUUUUUCUUGCCUGGCAUAUAAAAGCUCUUCAAUAAGUGAUUUUUGAAAGAAAGGAAGGAAGAGUUUAGUUAAAUAAAUUAUAUUUUUUGCACUCAGUGAAAAAGUAUGUCACACUUUAUAGAGAAGACCCUAUAACAGUGUUUCCUAGCCUUGGUUGCACAUCAGAAUCACCUAGCCAGUUUUUUAAAUACUGAUGUCCAGACUCACCCCCAGAGAUUCUAAUUUUUUUUUUUUUUUUGAAACAGAGUCUCACUCUGUUGCCCAGGCUGGAGUGCAGUGGUGCAAUCUCGACUCACUGCAACCUCUGCUUCCUGGGUUCAAGCUAUUCUCCUGCCUCAGCCUCCCGAGUAGCUGGGACUACAGGUGCAUGCCACCACGCCCAGCUAAUUUUUUGUAUUUUUAGUAGAGACAGCGUUUUGCUGUGUUAGCCAGGAUGGUCUUGAUUGCCUGACCUUGUGAUCUGCCCGCCUUGGCCUCCCAAAGUGCUGGGAUUACAGACGUAAGCUACCACACCUGGCCAAGAUUCUAAUUUUUUUAAACAAUUUUAAACUUUUAGAAAAGUUGCAGUUAAUGUACAAUAAAUUUUUUAUGAACAUUUGAGAGUAAGUCAUCAACAUUAUGUGCAUACUUCUGAAUCCUUUAGUGUGUAUUUUUAACAUAAAAGGGCAUUUUUUUUACAUAAUCACAUUACAAGCAUCCAAAUAAGGAAAUCAACAUUCAUUUAUUACUACCAUCUAAUCCUUAGACUCCAUUCAGAUUUCACCAAUUGUCUCAAUAAGAUUCUUUGUUAGCAAAAGGAUCCAGGUCAGGAUCAUGCAUUGCAUUUAGUUUUCUCCUUAGUCUCUUUCAAUCUAGAUCAGUUUCUGAAUUUUUCCUUGACUUUCAUGACCUUAACACCUUUAAAGAUAACAAGUAGAGAUUCUAAUUUAAUUGAUCCAUUUAUCCCUUUGCUCAUCAGAAAUUUUUCUAGAUGGCUUCCACCUACAGUUCUAACAAGAUACUGGCAAAUUUAUUUUGCUGUAUGGUGUACAUUACUCAUACGAGAAGUCAUUUGUUGGCUCCCCCUUGUCUAUGAAAAUGAAUGAUGCCUUUGUGAUGUUAUGACUCAACCUCGUGUACGCCUCCCCUCUUCUCCACUUCAGUGUUAGUUGUCAUCUCACUCAUGUCACCAAUGAUACUUCUGAGAGGCAGUUUUACUUUCUCCUCGCUUCCUUCAUCUUUCCCCAGGAUUCGUUGAAACACAUCUUUGGGAAUCAUUGUAUGUGGGGAAAAUAAUAUCUACUUCUUUGCCUUUCACUUUACCUCUAAACCUCUGGUCUUUUCCAAGGACCUUCUUUUUCUGAUUUUCUCUUACGGGAACAACCAAAACUUUGCAUGUACUAAAAUUGAGAACCUCAAUGUUGCUGAAUGGGUAUGUGGUAGAAUAUUCAAGUAUGUUCGAAUUUUAAUUCUGUAUGCCAAAAUGAUAGGUCAAUCAUUCAUUUAGGUACUUUUAUUAUUAUUAUUAUUUUGAGACAAGGUCUCACCCUGUCUCCUGGGCUGGAUCGCAAUGUCAUUAUCAUGGCUCACUGCAGCUUUCACCUCCUGGGCUCAAGCAAUCCUCCUGCCUUAGCCUCCGGAGACGCUAGGACCGUAGGCUGUGCGACCAUGCCCAAAUAAUUUUUUUUUUUGUAAAGAUAGGGUCUCAUGAUGUUGCCCAGGCUGGUCUUGAACUCCUGGGUUUGAGCAAUUCUCCAGCCUCAGCCUCCCAACGUUCUGGGAUUAUAGGUGAGAGUCACCAUGGCUGGCCUGUAUUUAUAUUUUUUAAACAUUAAAACACUUCACUGAGAACACAGCAGUAAACAGAAUACAUGUGGCUCUUAUCUUCACAGAGCUCACCUUUCAGGAGACAGUUAUGUAUAGCAAAUAUUUUAUAGGAUGAUGAAAACAUGGGUCUUUCCUGUUUUUUUUUUCUAAAUGUUUUGUAACUUGGUGAUACCACUUUUGUGAUUAUAAAAGUUCAAGAAGCAUAUAAAAUAUUUAAUUGUAUGUAUAAGUGUAAUUGCCCAACGGGUUCUUCCUGCCCCCUGCACAGAGAAAAUCAGUUCACCAAGACUGUGGUAUUGAAGUUACCAUUUUAAUUGACAAGAGGCCGCCCACAUAAGAGAUGGAAUUAUUACUCAGAUCAGUCUCCCCAAAGGAUAAAAGGUUAAGGUUUUUAUGGACAAUUUGGUGGGCAAGGGUAGGAAGUGUGUACUGCUGACUGACUGGGGAUGAAAUCAUAGAGAUGUAGAAAACGGUCCUCCUGUGCUGAGUCUACCUCUGGGUGGGGCCACAGGAUCAGUUGAGUCAUAAGUCAGGGUCAAGGUGAGGUCCAUCGGUUGCCAGAAUGCACAUCUAAAAAACAUCUCAAAAGACCAAUCUUAGGUUUUACGAUAGUGAUGUUACCUACGGGAUCAAUUGGGGAGAUCACAAAUCUUGUGACCUCUGAACCACAUGACCCCUGAGCAAUAAAGCAUUAUAGAACCUACGUCUACAUUUUAGCAGCAUUCAGGCCCCUCCCAUAAUAUUAAUAUUGUGGCUUUUCAUUAGUUUUACAAAGACAAUUUUCAGUUCCUGAGCCAGGAAGGGGUUAGUUCUUGUUUUCAGGUGAAACUAUAGACUGAAUUCCUCUCAUGGUGAGCUUGGCUGACACCCAAGAAUGAGGGAAGACAGCCAGUCUGUGAGGCCAAAAGCAAGAUGGAGUCAGCUAUGCUAGACUCCUCUCACUGUCAUAAUCUUUGCAAAGUCAGUUUCAUAAGUAGUUGAUCAAAUCUGAAUUUGGAUACAUAAUUAUUUCUGCAUGGAUUCUUAUUCUGGUACACUCUGGGGGAAAAAAUAGUGAAUCAAGGAUUAAUCAGAAAUAAACAUAGGUGCAGGGUGACUAAGAUGAUUGGACAGGCCACAAUUUCUUGGCCAUGAUUAACGCAGGCCUCCGCACAUACUGACACUCAUAAUUUAUCUUUAGUUUUAGUUUCUAUCUUGAAAGAAGAAGAGUUGUGAUUUUUACUAGUACAUUGUCAAAGAGGGAACAACUUGUACAAAUACAAAAGCAAACAGCUUUCUCUCAGAGAUCUAAAAAUAGUGCAAUAAGACUGGGGCUUUGACCAGGAGGUAGAAAAUGGCAAGAGAUAAAGCUGGAAACGUCAGCAGGGGCCUUGUAAAGUCAUAUUAAGACAACUGAACUUCAUCUUCAGGCCAUUAGGGAUCCAAAUAAAUGUUUUACCCGGGGAAUAGCACAAUCAUAUCUGUGUUAUAGAGGUCACUCUGGCUGCAGUGUAGAGAACAGAUGAAAGGGCCCUGGGGGGUUGGGCAGGGAAACAAGUGGGUGGAGUCUAGGGGACAGAGACUAGGUUGAAGUCUAUUAAGUAAUUCAGGAGAAAAUUCUGGUUUCCUGAAUUGCUAUGGCAGAAGGGAUAGCCAGAAGCAGUGAGCUUCAAAAGACAUUUAGUGGGGUAGAACAGACAGCCUCAGAGACUAAUUGGAUGUGAAAGGUAGCCUGUGGGAAUGAAUCCAGAUUAAUGCCUAUCCCCAAGCAAACAUGAUAGUACCAUCUUUAUCUGUGAUACCAAAAUCUAAAAAUCUAAAAAUAUCUGAAAACCAAAGUUUUUUCAUAAGUUUAAUGGUAAAGCCUAACCUGAUCUUAUAUCGUUGUGUAUCAUUAAACAGUUUUGUUUCAGUAGCUUGACAAAACAUUUAAUGUAUAUCAUUUUUAUUUAACCUAUUUAGUGUGACUCUCCACGCUGCUGUAAAAAUAUUAAUGUAUUUGAUGAUGAGUGACUUCCCAGACCCCUUGAAGUAUUAUAUAAUAUAUACUAUAUAUUCCAGAUUAUUAUUGUAAAUUCCAAAACAUCUGGCACCAGGAGUCUUGAAUAAGAGAUAGUAGACAAAGUUUGAAGUGGCCAUGGAGAAAGUGCUGAUGACAGAAUAUAUAUUUAUGGGUUAUAUUUACAAUUCAGUUGAUUUAGGAGAUUACAUGUAUUAUGGUGUUAUUAUUUUCUAGUGAACAGUUUGGCCCAGGGGUGAGGUUUUUACAGGAGGGUACGAUGAGGAAAGAUAAUUGAGGAUGUUAGCAACUGUAGUUGAAGUUAUAAACAAGGAAAGAUGUGAUGGCAGGAGGUGCUUGAAGAAAGGGAGAAAGUAGAUAGGCCAAAGGACCGAAUGCUUUUCUAAAGUACCUACAGAGACCCCAGGAAUAACAGGGAAAGAGCUGUGUCACGGUACACUUCAGAAGUGGAGCUUUCCAUGGUAAUGGAUGAUAUGGUUCCGAGUGUGGCCAUGGAAGGAGGUAGCCAGUGUGGAGUGGAGAUCGGUAUCAGUCACUAGAGAUAUGUAAGUCUAGGAACUGAGAGAAGCUUUCAUGUUGAGUGGCAUUGAAAUCACCUUGGAUCAUGGUUAGGUUAGGAGGUAGGGUGGAGAGGAAAAUGGUGACUCAAAGUCUGAAUUCUUUCACAAACGAGGGAAGUUUGUGAACCAAAGGUGUGACAGCAACAAGAAGAAAAGAUCUAGCCAGAUGGCAUAAGCCUCAAAAAGUCAGGAGUUCAUAUAUAAGGGGAGGUCUUAAAGUAGCACUGGGACAAAGGAUAGAACUACUCCUACCCUCCUGGCCAGAGAUUCUUCUCCUGAGGACUCCAAGGAAUUGAUGCCCUUAGGGGAUAUCCAAGUUUCAUUUAAGGCUAAGAGGCCUAUGAAGAGAUUCAAGUUUCAAGGGAGUUUACAAUGGCAUUGAAGUUCUGCAGAAAGCAAUAGGAAUAGUUAGAGAUUGGGGAAGGGAAGAAGAAUCUCAGAGCCAUGUGAGAAUAGCAGGAUGGGAGAAAAGAGGUGAAUAUAAUGGCCUCCAUGUUGGUGGGUUGGGGUGUGACAAAUUAAUAAUUUUCUGGUGACUAGUAAAUAGAGACCCUAAAAUCAUCUUUAAAACUGAGAACUUUUAUUUUUCUGCCACAUAAUUUGAGAUCUGAAGGUAGGCAUGUGGGACUGGUAUGGCAGCUCCAUAAUACCAUCAGUCACCCAGUCUCCUCCUCCUUGGUACUGUCAUCAUCUUUAGUAAUGUGCUUUUUGCCUUGUUGCCACAGAAUGUUGUCAGAACUCGAGUUAUCACUUCUUUUUUCCAGGCAUAAAGAAAGAAGAGUGAGGGCAAAAGGCAAAGAAUGCCAGCUGAGCUAACACUUCCUCUCUCGCCCACCUUUAAGCUUUUCCAAAAACCAAAGCCCUCACCCAACAGCUUCUGGUUAUUUUUGUUGUUGCUGGGAUUUAGUACUGUGGCCGCCCCUUUUUAGAAAGGAAGUGAGUAAACGUAGUUCUGUUAGUCGGGAACAUUGCUCCCACUAGCAAAAAUCAAGAUACUGUUAGAAGGAAGAAAGGGAGAAUGAAUGUUGGAUAAGUAAAAAGCAGUAUCUUCUCCAGGUGGUCAAGAGGCAUUUAGCUAGUAAACAGGCUUCCAAUGGAACUGGCCCCAGCUGAUCCCUAGUGCGGUGGUUCUUACGUGUCCUCUCCUGCUCCAGAACAGCUGCAUCAUGUGAGAACUUAGGGGAAAUGAAAUUCUCGGGGUCCACUGUAGGCCAGCUGCUUAGCAACUCUGGGGAUUUGACCCAGGAAUCUGUGCUUUAACAAGCCCUCCAGGUGCUUCUGGUGCCCAUGAAAUUUGAGAACUACCGUCCUAGUGCAGCGGUUCCCAAUCAAUAGCAUGCAUUAAAAUCACCUAUAGAGUUUUUUUUGUAAACUAUGUAAGCCUAGAGCCCUAUUAUAGAAGAUUCUGGUUAAGGAGGUCUGGUAUGAGCUUCUUAUAUCUAUAGAGUAGAACCCUGUUAUUCAUGGUUUCACUUUCCACAGUUUCAGUUACCCGUGGUCAACCAUGGCCCAAAAAUAUAAAAUGGAAAAUUCCAGAAAUAAACAAUUUAUCAGUUUUAAAUUGUAUGGUACCUUAAAGAGCAGUGUUGCAAAAAUCAAAAAAUAAAAAGUUUUAAAUUGUAUGCCAUUCUGAGUAGUAUGAUGAAAUAUUACAGUAUAUUGUUAUAAUUAUGCUAUUUUAUUGUUAAUCUCUUACUGUGCCUAAUUUAUAAAUUAAACUUUAUCUUUCUAUAUAUGGAAAAACAGUAUAGAUAGAGUUCGGUACUAUCCACAGUUUCAGGCAUCCACUGGGGGAACUGGAACAUAUUCCCCACUUAUAAGGGGGCACUACUGUAUUUUAUGUUGCAGGUGAUUCUGAUAUUCUGAUAUGGCUGAUAGUUAGACUAACAUUUAGAAACCACUGUCUCAGUGAGUAGGGGCACACUAGACUUUUUUAAAACUUAUAAAAGAACCUAUCAACAUAGUAAACAGAUAACCUACAGAAUGGGAGAAAAUUUGGGCAGACUAUGCUUCUGACAAAAGUCUAAUAUCCAGCAUUUAUACAAAACUUAAACAAAUUUACCAAAAAAAAAACAACCUCCAUCAAAAAGUGGGCAAAGGACAUGAACAGACACUUCUCAAAAGAAGACAUACACCAGACUUUUUAGAAGUCGGCUUUGGUUCUGCUUUUGAGGAAAGCCUAGACCCUGUGAGCAGACCAGCAAAGGGAUUGUUUUGCUUUCAGGAUUUAGCUGACAGUUGGAAGCAGCGGCAGCCUCUUAACUUUGAAGGGAUCAAUAGCCUCUCUGGAUGGAUUUAACUGUAGCCAAGGGUUGUUACACUUCCAAAGGAGUUCCAGUCUCUGAAUGGGGGAAUCUUUGGCUUCUCUGGAAGGAGCCAGCCAUGACCUGAUUAAUUACCCAGAUUUUUUGGGGGGGAAGUCUCAAUGUUGAGGCUGCCAUUUGCCCUCCCAGGGAGGAGAGGCCUGAGAUAUAUGGUAUGCAUGUAUUGCAUGGAUGCUGAGGGUAACAAGGAGAGAGGCUCUGGGUUUCUUGCAGCUUAAAAUAGUUAUCUGCAGGUUCAUCAAAUCUGCACUCACCAUUUGUCAUGGUCAUGUGGCUCAGAGGUGUACAGGAGACCAACUCUUGUCGUUCUCCCUGUGGGCUGUGUAAGUGCUUUGAGGGCCUGAGCUUAUCAGGGACUUUUGUAUCUCCAGCUGCUAACAUAUUGCAGGCUUUUAGUCUGUUGAGUAAAUGCAUGUGGGAAUAUAUCAUGAAUGGGGACAGUGGACCUCCAUACCCUCUCUCUUUUUAUAUGGCUGAAAUGUCUCAAUGACCUGAUGAGAGUGAGCCCUGCUUUCAGGUACCACAUCUCACCCUUCCCUCCACCUGCCAGUUGCCAGAAAAGUCCACUACAGCAUCCCAAAAAUGUGAACAAUUAUUAUGUGUCAGUUAAAAAGGCCACUUCCACCAGCAUCUUCUUUCAUUGCUGUUUAUUCAAGUAAAACCUGAAAUAUGUGCAAGUGGAAAGCAAAUGGUUUGCAUGGAUUCUUUUCUUCCUUCUCAAACCUGAUAUUUCAGAAGUCUCUACAUUCAUCGUAAAAACAUCAUGAAAAUAUAAGAGGCCUUAAGCUAUCAAAUUGUAAUUCUUUAUGGCCCAGUUAGUAUUUCAUCAGCAUUGGUUGUUUUCUUAGAUAAAAGAAUCUUGGAUAAGGAGCAAUUUCACAUUCCCUCCCAUAUCCCGUCGUAGUGGGGCAUAUGUUCAUUGCUAGAUUCUAAGGGAGUUACAGGUUCAUAGGUCUUUCUCUUUCUCAAGUACAGUGCCAGCUCCACCUUUCUUCAGAUAGGCUGCCUUUUGAAUCUGAAAAGUAACAAGCUUAAUGACUUAAGGACUCUAUUUAAUGUGAUUUAUCCCACUUUAUAUAGGCACUUAUAAAAUCAUUUGUCGAACACUCUAGGAUUAUUUUAGAUUAAUUUAUUUUGGAUAAAUUGGUUAAUUAAGUAUGGAAAAUCCAUAUAAAAUAAAUAGACACAAUCAUUGGACUAAAAGUGACCUUAUAGGCGUCAUUUAAGAAUCUCCAGGCAUUCUGUCUCAGCACUUUUUGUAUCUUCUCUACCUAUUCCCUGGGAAAUGGUUCUCACACAGUAGCACAAUUCCCUGGAUGGCUUUUUAAUUUUUUUUUUUAAUUUUUUUGAGACAGAGUCUCACUCUGUCACCCAGGCUGGAAUGUAGUGGCAUGAUCACAGCUCACUGCAACCUCGACCUCCCAGGCUCAAGUGAUCCCUCCUCAGUCUCCCUAGCAGCUAGGACCACAGGCAUGCACCGUCAUGCCCCACUAAUUUUUUUUUUCUUUUGUAGAGACAGGGUCCCCCUGUGUUGCCCAGGCUGCUCUAGAACUCCUGGGCUCAAGCAAUCGUCCCACCUUGGUCUCUCAAAGUGUUGGAAAUUACAGGUGUGAGCCACCAUGCCUGGCCAGGCUUUUUUAAAAUACGGAUUGCUGGGCUAUACUCCACAGUGUCUAAUUCAGUAGACCUGAGAUAGAGCCUGAGAAUUUGCAUUCUAACAAGUUCCCAGUUAGUGCUGAUGCUAUUGGUUUAGAGUACCACACUUGGAGAGCCACUGUUCUAAGCCAAAAAACACUGUGCACUCUCCAUUAAGUCAAGUUGUUCUCUUGAUUAAUUUUUGUCAAGCUGUUGUCAGAUUUGGAAUUUCACAGACCUGGAACAUUUCAAAAAAAAAAAAAAAAAAGCCAAACAGUAACAAAACCCACUUUGGGGAUAGACAUAAUGAUAAAGUUUUAAAAAUUUAACAAAUGAAACAUUAGAAAAAUUUGUUUCCCGUCAUCAUCGUUUUGUUUUAAAAGGAUAUUUAAUCACCAACAGCAUUUUAUCAUAGAAUAAUGGACUGUCUCUUCAACUGAAUAAAUUCAGCUUUACCUGAAGCUCACUUUAUUGCUAUGGCAUGCCAAAGACAUGAUGGUCAAAGCAGUCCACUUCAGGCAUAGGCAAAACAGCGUUGCAUCUUCUGUAGAUCAUUUUAAAACAAUAAUAGAAUCCACUAAUAGUUUGUCUGCUUUUCAUUAUCACCAUAAACAGGCAGUUCCAAACAAUGUCAGUGAGAAAAUACUGCCCCUUCCCCAGGGUGGACUACUCCUGCCAACCCUUGCUUCAUCACUGCUUUGUUGCCUUCAUUUUUCCCAUUUUGCCAGAAAGCAGUGAAAUGUCAUCCCAGACCCUCACCAUCUGGUGGUUGGGAGCAACUGGGCUAAGUUACACAUGCUUAUGGAGUCUUUGAUAAUUUUAUUCAAACUUGAUAUGGAAAACAUAUAUCACAUUUCACAGGUCAAAGAGGAAUGUAAACUAGUUGAGUCCCGCGAGUGGUGAUUUUAUCUAUGUUAAAGAAAUUUGGGCCAGGUGCUGUGGUAAUCCCAGCACUUUGGGAGGCUGAGGCAGAAGGAUUGCUUGAGCCAAGGAGUUCGAGACCAGCCUGGACAACACAGCAAGACCCUGUCUCUAUCUUAAAAAAAUUUUUUUUAAUUAUACAAAUUUUAAAAACAUAUUUUAAAAAUAAAGAAAAAAUUCUUUAUAAUUAUUUGGAGAAAUAGAGUAUUCUUUAACACUUAUACAUAAGCACAAGUAUUUUUAAAAAUAUUUAUUUAACUAGGACUAAUGGACAAAGGUAGAAAAUUCUGAUUUUUGUUUUUUUUUUUUAGACAGAGUCUUGCUCUGGCUUGAUCUCAGCUCACUGCAACCUCCAUUUCCUGGGUUCAAGCAAUUCUUCUGCCUCAGCCUCCUGAGUAGCUGGGACUGCAGGUGCACACUACCAUGCCCAGCUAAUUUUUGUAUUUUUAGUAGAGAUGGUGUUUCACCAUAUUGGCCAGGCUGGUCUCGAACUCCUGAUCUGCUCACCUCGGCCUCCCAAAGUGCUGGGAUUACAGGCGUGAGCCACCGUGCUCGGCCUCUGAUUUUCAAAUUCAAAAUAAAAAGCCAGAGUUUUUUUUAUAAUAUUGAGUUCUUCAAUAUAACGUGAGGAAUUAAAAAUUAAUUUUAUCUCCUUAAUCCAUGGCUUAAUUUUAAGUUAACUACCACGUGUUAUUUUAUUUAAAUUUCAUUCAUUCAUUGAUAGGAAUGUGCAGUCAUUUCACCAGGUGCUGUUUUGAAGAUACACAUUUCUGCCCAGCACAGUGGCUCACACUUGUAAUCCCAACACUUUCGGAGGCUGAGGUAAGAGAAUCACCUGAGCCCAGGAGUUUGAGACCAGCCUGGGCAACGUGGCAAGACCCAGUCUCUAAAGAAAUACAAAAAUUAGCCAGGUGUAGUGGCAUGUACCUGUGGUCUCAGCUACUCCAAAGGCUAAGGCAGGAAGAUUGCUUGAGCCUGGGAGGUCAAAGUUGCCAUGAGCUAUGAUCAUGCCACUGUACUCCAGCUGAGUGAGAGAGUGAGAUUCUGUUUCAAAAAAUAAAACGUGAUUAUCCCUAUUUGGCUGGGCACAAUAGCUCACACCUGUAAUUCCAACACUUUGAGAGACCAAGGCAAGAAGAUCACUUGAGCCCAGGAGUUCAAGACCAGUCUGGGCAACAGAGGGAGAUGUCUCUACAAAAAAAAAAAAAAAAAAAAAAAUUAGCCAAGCAUGCUGGCAGGUGUUUAAAGUCUUAGCUAGUCAGGAGGCUGAGGUGGGAGGAUCUCUUGAGGCUGGGAGGUUCGAGAUUGCAGUGAGCCAUGAUCACAUCACUGUACUCCAGCUUGGGUGACAGAACAAAACUUUGUCUCAAAGAAAAAGAAAAGUAGAGAGUUUAGAUGGAAAAGAUAAAAAGACAUGUAAAAUUAAAUUGUAAUAUAAAAUUAAACACCAGCAUAAGAGAAUGUUGCCAGAUAGUGUAUGAUGAAGUGUUAGAAACACUAAGUAUGAGAGUUCAAUGGAGAGCAGUAUGACUGUGGCUGAAGGGGGUCAGGGAAAUUUCAUGAAAUAAAUUUCAUGAAUUUAAUGAAAUGGCAUUUGAAGAAUAUGGCAGAUUUUUAUACAUACAGAAAAAGAACAUGGCAGGCUAGUUUUAGAAGACACUGAGUUCGUCUGGUUGAAGUGGAGGGUUCCUUUGGUAGAGUAUGGGAAAUAAAUUUGGAAAUGUAAAUUAGAGCUAGACUGUGGAGACUUUGGAAAGCUUUCUGAUGGCAACAAUGAACAUUGUGAUAAUGGUGAUAAAAAUAAUAACUUUACUAAGCAAUAUAUACCAGGUACUAUGCCAAAUUGUUUACCUGCAUUACCUAAAAACUCUAUUGAAUAGUUUCUAUUAUCUCCAUUUUAUAUGCUAAGAGAGUGAGGCUCCCACAGGUGAAAUGACUUGGCCAGGAUCACACCACCAAUGAGUGGCAGAGAGCUGAAAUUUGAACCCAAGUUUGUCUAAGUCCAAAACCAGUGUUUCUAUACAGCAAACUAGGUCAAGGAUGAAAAAAGUGUUUCAAUUCAAGUGCCAGUUUUUGAUUUAUUGAUAAAACUACAACCAAAUAGAAAAAAAAAAUCACCAUGAUGGAUUACUGAUGUUUGCUGUAAAUGCGGGAUGAGAUUUUCUUGGUAUGUAUGACACACAGUGGCUACUUAGGCUCUAGAAAACUGGAAGCCAUCAAAGGUUUUUGAACAGGGCAGUGACUUGAUAAAGUUCCCAAAACUUUAACCAAGCAGCAGAGUUUAAGGUGAGUAGAUAAUAGGAGUAAUGGAAGCGUAUACUCUGAUCAUCCAGUAACAAGUCUUAAGGACCUGGUAGUCUAAAAUAAGACCAUUCAGAAAUUUUCUUCUCCUUCAAGUGAUCAAUUUCUACUAUCAAGGUGUAAUUCUUUGAAUAGUAUCUAUCUCCUCCCCUGACCUCUAUGAUCCAUGAGAACAGUGACCUUCUGUGUUUUGUUCAUUCCUCAAUUCUCCAGUGGGUAGGCAUUCAAUAUAGUUUUCUUAAAUCCAGUAAUAAUAAAAGCAAUAAUGAUCAUAGAAAGCACUCGCUUUGUGCCCAGACUGGGUUAAGUACUUUCAGUAGAGCAAAUGCAUAUGGAAUCAGACUACCUGGGUUUGAAUUCUAGCUCUGCCACUUACUAGCUGUCCAAGCAAGCAGGUUAAACUCUUGUGCCUGAAUUGCCUCAUCUUUAUGGUGGGGAUAAUAAUAGUACUUACCUCAGAGAGCAGCAGCAAGAAAUAGAUUAGGUGAUAUAGGUAAAUCAAUAAGAAUAGGAAGUAUUCAAUUAAAUAUUGGUUAUUAUAAUUAUCUUUUUAAAUUAUUAUCUUUACCAUUCUAUACUUAACUUGUCCAUUAGAAAAUAAAUAUAGUAGAGCCAAAGGAAAGGCUAUAACUUCUAUGGCAGCCCUGUUUCUUGUCAGGCCUGUUAGGCUCUUUUAUAAAUGAUAUCCCAGCUAAGUUAAAACUCCAAUUUCACUGUCAGAACCUACUUAAUUAUCUUUUUACCAAAUACAAAACCCACACAAAUCUGGAUUUUUUUUUCUUUUCAACUGAUUAUGGGCUUUAACAAAUCUGGUUUCAAAUAAUGUAUUUUUAAAGAUAAAUUGAAAAUUUAUCAUGGGAGGGCUUCCAUGAGAAUGCAAGGCAGGCUGAGGAGGCAGGCUUCAGAUCAGGUCAUGUAGGGGCAAUGAACCCGAGGGAGGAGGCAGAUGGAUAGAGGACACAGACAGAGGGAGGGGGUCUGCAGAGGGAAGGAAAUACUGACUGAGGUCUGGAAUGACCAUCUCUACCAAGAGACACUCUGCCUCCCACAGGGUGUCCAGACACUGGUGCACACAUUCCUACCUAAGGGCCUGGGCUGGCACAGCCCUGAAGAAGGUGGCACCCACUCUGGCAGUCAGUGGGUCUGGCCUGGCAGAAGGAUCAUCACAGGCUUCAGGGGGCUGGACAGCCUGGGGGGACUAGCGGAGGUCAUCUCUUCCAGCCUCCUGCCCUCAACCAAGUCCAGCUCUGAGCCCUGGGUCACCCAGGGCCACCCUGGAUUCAUUGGAAUCCCUCCACCACCAGUAGGUCAAGUUCUGUAGAGGUCUGAGGAUGGUGGUCAGCUGGGGAGUCAGCAGAGGGUGAAGAGGGUCACAGUUCUACCAAAGCCUUGUCCAGUCAUCCUCCAUAGGGGAUGGAGGCCUCUUCCGUGAUCUCCCACUCCAUCCUGCCACUUCACUCAUUUCAUCAGCUGCUCCUGAAGCACCCGGGACUCAGGACUGGUUUUAUCUUCCAAGGCCUUGGUGAAGGGCUGGCCCAGGAUCUGCAGCCACACCUCAUACAGCACCAGCUCUGCCUUCCCACCUAGAGCAGUGAGGGUGGAGAUGGCAUCAGCCUUGGCCCCCUCUCCUGGAAGCCCUGGGGUGGGACUCAAACCCAAGCUCUAAUGCUCCAAUCCAGCAGUCAGCCAACGUUAGUCUAAGGGCCCAUCCCUUGCAGCCUGUUUUUGUGCGGCCCAUGAGCUGAGAAUGGCUUUCACAUGUUUAAAUGGUUGAAAAACAUCAAAAGUAGAAUAAUAUUUUGUGACACUUGAAAAGUAUGUGAUAUGCAAAUUUCAAUGUCCAUAAAUAAAGUUUUACAGGAACAUAGCGGGGAAAAGGCUUUUAUUCUUUUAGUGUAGCCUUUUAUGUUUGAAGAACAAAUUAUAUUGCCUUGCAAGAAAUUCAAAGGUCAGUACCCAGGUGCUAGCCUCUGUACCAUGCCUAUCUGAACUUGCUCCUCUUUUUUUUUUUUUUUUUUUUUUUCCUUUUCCAGCCUCUCUUCUCAUCAUAUAAACCCUCUUGUCUGUCACCUGGCGGUACAAUUAAACUCAUGGAUGAUUCCCUUUUGUAGCUGAAGUUUGAGAGGCAAAAGUUAGCUGGUUAGUAGGAAGGAAGUGAGAAUACGUGUUUUUUCUAGACAACCAAAAUAUCCCUUUGCCUACUGUUUAUUAAAAACAAAUAAAAUCAAAAUCUUGUUCCAUCACCACUAAGCAAUGCUUGUCUCUAUUUUGUAGGUCUUUACUAUGAUGAUCUUCAGUAAUGUUAAUAUAUUGAGUUUGGCCAAUUCUUGAUCUUUUUUCAUAAUGGAGAAAUUAAGGGGUUAGCAAGGGCCCUUGAAAUCCAGAGAGAUACUAGCAACUAUUUGUCCAUUAAUUGCAACGUAUUUACAAUACACCUUACCUUUUUUAUAACAAGUAUACAGAUAGACUAGCUUGCCCUUAGACUCUUAAAUAUAUUUUUCUCAGCUAUCUUAUAAAACACAAAAAUAUUUCUUAUGGGCUUAAUAUGCACACAUACACAUACAGACAUACAGAGUAAAUUAGAGACAAUAUAUAUACAUAUUGUAAACUAGAGACAGAGGCUCAUUCUGUAACCCAGGCUAGAGUACAGUGGUGCAAUCAUAGCUCAAUGCAGCCUUGAAUUCCUGUGUUCUGGCAGUCCUCCACUGUCAGCCUCCAAGUAGCUGGGACUACAGGCAUGCACCACCAUGCCCAGCUAAUAAAAUAAGUAUUUUAUAAUUGAAUGAAAGUGAUUAAGAAUCAUGAAGGGACCCAAAGUCAUAAACUAGAAAGAUGUUAAAAGACUGGCUCAUAUCAGAACUGUAUAAUCCGAAUUCAGUAAGUCAGUAUCACAGUAAUCUCCCCUUAUCCGCAGUUUUGCUUUCCAUUGGUCCCAGUUACUCUCAAUCAACUGUACUUCAAAAAUAUUUAAUGGAAUGUUCCAGAAAUAAGCAAUUCGUAAGUUUUAAAUUGCACACCAUUCUGAGUAGCAUGAUGCAAUCUCAUGCUGUUCUGCUUUGACCCUUCUUCAUCACAAGAAGGAUGAAUACAGUACUUCAGAUGUUUUAAGAGAAAGACCACAUUCACAACAUAACUUUAAUUACAGCAUAUUGUUAUAACUGUUCUAUUGUAUUAUUAGUUACUGUUUUUGAUCCCUUAACUGUGUGUAAUUUAUAAAUUCAACUUUAUCAUAGGUAUGUUUGUAUAAGAAAAAACAUAGUAUAUGUAGGGUUUGGUACUAUAUGUGGUUUCAGGUAUCCGCUGGGGGUUUGGGAUGUAUCCCGUAGGGAUAAGGGGGAAAUACUGUAAUAACCAAAUAUAAUCCUCUAGCAGGAGAGAGAAAUGUGUAACUAAAAUAUUAACCUCUCUUAGUUAAAUAUUAUUUAUUUAUUUUUUAUUAUUUUUGAGACGGAGUCUCAUUCUGUCACCCAGGCUGGAGUGCAGUGGCAGGAUCUUGGCUCAUUGCAACCUCUGCCUCCCAGGUUCAAGCAAAUCUCCUGCCUUGGCCUCCCCAGUAGCUGGGACUACAGAAUAGUCUACUGUAUCAGUGAGUGGUAUCUCCCAUUCUGUCAUUACCACUAUGGUCUGAGCAAGAGUAGAGGAUGGAAUGAGGCUACAAUGAGGCUACCUAUGGAUUCUCGGUGGGUAGUUUUAAAAACUUUGCCUCCAUGGAAGCUUCUGAUAAUGCUUCUGUCCUCACCUCUACCCCGCCUCCCACUGUGCUGCUGUAACUGGCCUUAUGACAACAAAUGAAUCUGGCAUAAGAGAGAAGAGCAGCAGAGUAAGUGAAACAGAAUUGUGUGAAUUAGCCGUCUCGUUGGAUUCUACCCAAUCACACUGUGAAAAUCCAUUAUGCAUUAUGCUUAUAUUCCAUUGUGUAAUGAAUGGUAAUUGUUCUAAUGAUAAAUACUGGUCCCUUUUGGUACCAACCUUAGAGUUAGAAAUAGCUUAAUCUGUUGAGUAAAUGAAUAAAAACCGCAAGUUUAAACCAGCAAAAAUAAUUUCUUUGCUUGGAAUAUCAGUGUACAUAUCUUUCCGUGCAAAGUUCUCCACUUUUCUCAUUACCCAUUAACUUGUUGGUUACUCUACAAUCACCAUCUGAGAGCUAAAAUCUGCUGCUUACUAUUCACAAGGCAGAGAGAAUUAUAAAACAUUAUACAAUAGUAGCACACAGCAUAGCUUUGAAUCUUUCCAUAAAGUCAUCAUAAUGGUACAUUUUCUGAGUAUUGCCUUCAGAUUGUUUUAAUAAAGAAUUCAUUGUUCUAGUGUUUACAUGAUGAUUUUCUGUAACAGAAACCGAUACUGACAUUGAUACCUUAGGCUAACGCAAUUUUUAGUCAUUUUACUGGGGUAAAAAUAACUUUGUUGUAUAAUAAACAAAUUGCUCAAGCAAUCCUCCUGCUUCAGCUUCCAGUAAUUGGAAUGGUAGGUGCAUGCCACGGUGCCUGGCUUCUUCUACCAUUGAUAAUUUUGGUCCUUCUCAGGUUAACAUACAUUUAUUGAAGGCCUGUUUGUGCCAUUCACUGUUCUAGGCACUGCAGCUAAAUAAGACACACUCCUCAUUCUCAAAAAAUUUAACGUUCUCCAGGAAAAAUUGUUAUCAAAAUUGACAUCAGAAACUAAAUGCUAGGAGAUUGAUCCUUCCUGGGUUUCAUGAAAUCCCCUAUCAGGAAGUAAAUGCUAGGAGGUUGAUCCUUAUUGGGUUUCAGCACAAGAAUCAGAUGAGCCUCCUGUUAGAUAUGAAAUCUGCUCCAAGUAUUGGAGGAUAGGUUAAAAAAACAAAACAUAGAAUAGUAUUCCAGGCUGAAGAAAUAGUGUGUAUGUUGUAUAAUAUAUUCUCUUGUAAUGGCCUUUGUGGAUAAUUACACAUUGCAAGUAUUCAAUUUUAUUUGCUGGUAUUCCAGUUUGUUUUCUCAUUUGAGGGAUAUUAUGUAUCCAUUCUCUUAGCUCUUUACCUUGGUUUUUUGUUUUUGUCUUUGUUUCCCGAGAUGGAGUCUCACUAUGUCGCCCAGGCUAGAGUGUAGUAGCUACUCAUAGGAGCAAUCCCUAAUUCCAUGUAGGGAAACUACAUGGAAUUUGAUAUAGCAGAGUUUAAAAAGACAUUAGAGAAUUGCAGAUGAGCAUGGAAAGGUAGCUAAGGCUCAAGUCAUAUGAUUAUUUUAUGCCAAAUUUAGGAGUUUGAAAUUUACUCAUAGGGUUAGUCCAUGGACUGACUGGGCUGAAAUUGCAAAAUAUUCAUUCUGGGGGGGAAAUGGUCCAUAGCUUAUUAGAUCUCAAAGUUGUCCACAAUAAAAAAAAAAAAUUGUUAAGAAUAUUGCAGUGAAAAGUUUAAGUAAAUGCUCAUACUGUUCACUAAUUAGAGUGAAGUAAGGCAUUACCAUAUCCAUGUUUCAUAUUACAAGAAAUGUGAUGUACAGAGCUGUCAGUGCAAUGAAUGGAAGUUGCCAGGAAGACUUCUGUAGCCAAAACUAAACCAUAAAUUCAUUCAUUGAACAUUUCACUGAACUUUUCCUAUACACCAGAAACUGGUAAGCACUGAGGAGACAGUAAUGAACAAGAGCUCCUAUUCAGACACACAUUCCAUUCAGGGCUCAUAGUCUAAUGAGGAAGGCAGACAUUAAUCAGAUAAUCACAAAAAGAAAUGGACAAGUACAAACUCUGAUUAUUGCUCUGUAGUAAAAGACAGGAUGAGUUGUAAUCGGGGAACCUGGUGUAGAUGGGGGAUUAAGAAAGGUUUUCUUUAGCAAAUGGCAUUUGAACUGAGGCCUGAAAUGAGUGUCAGCUAAGGAAGAAGGUAAAUGACUCCAGGCCGAGAAAAUAGCACUUGCUAAAGCCCUUAUGCGGGGAAUUGGUUGGUGUGUUUUAGAAAAGGAAAGAAGAAAUAUAAAAUGCAAACAAAAAAAAAUAGCCUGAGAUGACACUAGAGAAAUAGAGAUUGGGCCAUGCAGGGCUUUGUGGGCUAUUUUAAGAAUAUGGAUCUUUAUCCUCAAAAUGUCAGGAGGCAACCCUUGAGGGGAAUGGGCAUUGACAUAAUCAGGUUUAUAGUUUUUAAGAGGUCUCUCCAGUUACCAUGUGGAAAAUGGACUGAAGGGGGUCAGGUUGGGAUAGAUUUAUUAAAUAAUAGUGUAACAACUGAAAAUACAUUGAUACCAUGUACUUUAAUUUAUGGGUUGUUAUAAAUUCAUAAAAUGUGUCUAGGCAUUAGUUUCUCCAUGUGGAAAAUGAUGAGGCUGAACUUGUAAUUCUCAAAGCUUGGACUCCCCCGCAAAUGAGCUGAAUAAUUGAUCCUCUGAGACCUGGAGGCAGCAGCUCCAAUCCUUAACCACUUCCUGUGCCGGCUCCAGGAUGCCAUGCGAGAAUGAGCAUUUUCUAGGUGCACCAUGAGGUGACAAAGAUUGAGAGGCCCUCCUCUAAACCCCUUUCCUGCACUAACAUUCCAUGAUUCUAGGUUUUGAGGAAAUCAAAUUCUAAUCUGACACCUUGGUUUUACCAUUGAGGAAAGUGUUGCCCAAAGAAGGAAAGUGGCUCACCUAAAAUUGCAUGGCUUAGUGGAUAGAACAUUACUCUCCUAACUAGUAAUCCUGGGUUUUUCUAGUUUGCCAUACUGUCUCUAUAUCCUUUGUAAGCAGUGUAAUGAAUUAUUAUAAUUAUCAAAUUCCA